GAUGAACGCUGGCGGCGUGCCUAAUACAUGCAAGUCGAGCGAACAGAUAAGGAGCUUGCUCCUUUGACGUUAGCGGCGGACGGGUGAGUAACACGUGGAUAACCUACCUAUAAGACUGGGAUAACUUCGGGAAACCGGAGCUAAUACCGGAUAACAUAUUGAACCGCAUGGUUCAAUAGUGAAAGGCGGCUUUGCUGUCACUUAUAGAUGGAUCCGCGCCGUAUUAGCUAGUUGGUAAGGUAACGGCUUACCAAGGCAACGAUACGUAGCCGACCUGAGAGGGUGAUCGGCCACACUGGAACUGAGACACGGUCCAGACUCCUACGGGAGGCAGCAGUAGGGAAUCUUCCGCAAUGGGCGAAAGCCUGACGGAGCAACGCCGCGUGAGUGAUGAAGGUCUUCGGAUCGUAAAGCUCUGUUAUCAGGGAAGAACAAAUGUGUAAGUAACUGUGCACAUCUUGACGGUACCUGAUCAGAAAGCCACGGCUAACUACGUG
Molecule: ribosomal RNA, 497 nt
Filed under: uncultured bacterium
Lineage: Bacteria
Description: partial 16S ribosomal RNA
Rfam family: Bacterial small subunit ribosomal RNA
Source: RNAcentral